RNAcentral lists this ribosomal RNA (433 nucleotides) under uncultured bacterium. RNAcentral's name for it is "partial 16S ribosomal RNA". It matches the Rfam family "Bacterial small subunit ribosomal RNA", at positions 29 to 507 of the family's 1533-position model. The record is from RNAcentral.
AACGAACGCUGGCGGCAUGCCUAACACAUGCCAGUCGAACGAGACCUGCGGGUCUAGUGGCGCACGGGUGCGUAACGCGUGGGAACCUGCCCUUAGGUUCGGAAUAACUCCCCGAAAGGGGUGCUAAUACCGGAUCAUGUCUUCGGACCAAAGAUUUAUCGCCUUUGGAUGGGCCCGCGUUGGAUUAGCUAGUUGGUAGGGUAAACGCCUACCAAGGCGACGAUCCAUAGCUGGUCUGAGAGGAUGAUCAGCCACACUGGGACUGAGACACGGCCCAGACUCCUACGGGAGGCAGCAGUGGGGAAUAUUGGACAAUGGGCGAAAGCCUGAUCCAGCAAUGCCGCGUGAGUGAUGAAGGCCUUAGGGUUGUAAAGCUAUUUUACCCGGGAUGAUAAUGACAGUACCGGGAGAAUAAGCUCCGGCUAACUCCGUG